AAAGAAGUUGGGUUCUGCCAUGUUCAUUCUUGCAGAUUUCGGUAGAUACCCGCUUGAAAUUGCAAAUCUUGGGAAGGAUAUAAUAGCUCCUUACAAGCAUGUUGUGAGGACAAUUCCAAGUGGUAAAUCAGCUCAGUUUGACGAGCGUCCCAUUUUGGUGUUUUUCCAAGGAGCAAUAUAUAGGAAGGAUGGAGGAGUCAUUCGCCAAGAACUGUAUUACCUUCUGAGAGAUGAG
Molecule: unclassified non-coding RNA, 235 nt
Filed under: Hevea brasiliensis (rubber tree)
Lineage: Eukaryota; Viridiplantae; Streptophyta; Magnoliopsida; Malpighiales; Euphorbiaceae
Source: RNAcentral